Long non-coding RNA from Peromyscus leucopus (white-footed mouse), 529 nucleotides. RefSeq lists it as uncharacterized. The transcript is spliced from 3 exons. NCBI's taxonomy places the organism in Eukaryota, Metazoa, Chordata, Mammalia, Rodentia, Cricetidae. The record is from RefSeq and is a predicted model, not a curated record.
CCCAGUUUUUUAAUUUACUUUUCUCUUUCCUUGCAGCAUUAGAAGGAAAUGCUCCCAGGGCAUGGCGAGUCUUGCUCCUUGGAAGUUUGUAGCCUUCCUGACAUUUGCAUAUCUCAGGUUGCAAGUAGCUCCUUGGGAGAAUGCUUGAGUGGCGUGAUGUCAACUUGCAGUGCCUCUGACGGACUGUGUCACAAUCAGAAUUGCCCCUGUGCUGCUGAUCAGCCUGUACAAAUCCUUGCCAGGGCUUUGUUCACAUGGAGGAAGUUGGGCCUCCUGGGGAACUCGCAGCUGAAAGUCAUUAUAGUCAUGGCCUAGGUUUGAAGGUAGGAGACCCCUGAUGUGUCUGCAAGAAAGAACAAAUCUUUCUCCUGCCUGACUCCAUCCCAGUCUUCCCCCUAGACUUCUGGGACAAGCUCCAGACAGGAGACAUUCAGAAGAUCAGGUAGUGUUCCCACUUUGGCAAGGAAUGUUGUAAUCUUUGACAACUGAGAUUCCUUUAUUUACUAAAAUAAAUAAAUAAAUAAAUAAA